CCCGCUGAACUUAAGCAUAUCAAUAAGCGGAGGAAAAGAAACUAACAAGGAUUCCCCUAGUAACUGCGAGUGAAGAGGGAAGAGCUCAAAUUUGAAAUCUGGCGGUUCUUGCAGCCGUCCGAGUUGUAGUUUAGAGAAGUGCUAUCCGCGCUGGCCUGUGCAUAAGUUUCUUGGAAAAGAAUAUCAUAGAGGGUGACAAUCCCGUCUUUGGCACAGAUCACCAGGGCUUUUGUGAUGCGCUCUCGACGAGUCGAGUUGUUUGGGAAUGCAGCUCUAAAUGGGUGGUAAAUUCCAUCUAAAGCUAAAUAUUGGCGAGAGACCGAUAGCGAACAAGUACCGUGAGGGAAAGAUGAAAAGAACUUUGAAAAGAGAGUUAAACAGUACGUGAAAUUGUUGAAAGGGAAACGCUUGAAGUCAGUCGCGUCUUCCAGGGAUCAAGUCGACUUUUGUCGGCCGUACUUUCUGGUUGAUGGGUCAGCAUCAAUUUUGACCGCUGGAUAAAGGCCUUGGGAAUGUAGCAUCUUCGGAUGUGUUAUAGACCAGGGUUCGGAUACAGUGAUUGGGAUUGAGGAGCUCAGUGUGCCCUUGUGGUUGGGGCAACUUGCCUACAUAGCGCACUUAGGAUGCUGGCAUAAUGGCUUUAAUCGACCCGUCUUGAAACACGG
Molecule: ribosomal RNA, 665 nt
Filed under: uncultured fungus
Lineage: Eukaryota; Fungi
Description: eukaryotic LSU rRNA
Rfam family: Eukaryotic large subunit ribosomal RNA
Source: RNAcentral